This 1242-nucleotide ribosomal RNA is filed under the name metagenome. RNAcentral describes it as "bacterial LSU rRNA". It matches the Rfam family "Bacterial large subunit ribosomal RNA", at positions 1564 to 2815 of the family's 2925-position model. The record is from RNAcentral.
UGAAUACGAGAUGCUACGGCAUUGAAGCAGUGUAUGUCAGACUUCCAAGAAAAGCUCGCAAUGUCAUAAACAAAAGAUGCCUGUACCAUAACCGACACAGGUGGGUAGGUAGAGUAUACUAAGGGGCGCGAGAUAACUCUCUCUAAGGAACUCGGCAAAAUGACUCCGUAACUUCGGGAGAAGGAGUGCCUUAUUUAAUAAGGUUGCAAUAACAAGAUCCAAGCAACUGUUUACCAAAAACACAGGUCUCCGCUAAGUCGAAAGACGAUGUAUGGGGGCUGACGCCUGCCCAGUGCCAGAAGGUUAAAGAAGUUGGUUAGCUUCGGCGAAGCUGAUGACUGAAGCCCUGGUGAACGGCGGCCGUAACAAUAACGGUCCUAAGGUAGCGAAAUUCCUUGUCGGGUAAGUUCCGACCCGCACCAAAGGCGUAAUGAUUUGGAUACUGUCUCGGAGAGGGGCUCGGUGAAAUAGACUUGUCUGUGAAGAUGCGGACUACCUGCACCUGGACAGAAAGACCCUAUGAAGCUUUACUGUAACUUGAGAUUGAAAUUGGACUUUAUUUGCGCAGUAUAGGUGGGAGACGUUGAUAGCAUUCUUGCGGGAAUAUUGGAGUCAUCAGUGAGAUACCACUCUUGUAAUGUUAGAUUUCUAACUUUGUAUCAUUAUCUGGUCAAAGAACAGUCUCAGGCGGGCAGUUUGACUGGGGCGGUCGCCUCCCAAAUGGUAACGGAGGCGCACAAAGGUUUCCUCUGAACGUGUAGAAAUCGUAUCUAGAGUGUAAAGGCAUAAGGAAGCUUGACUGUGAGACCUACAAGUCGAGCAGGGACGAAAGUCGGUCUUAGUGAUCUGACGGUGCUGAGUGGAAAGGCCGUCACUCAACGGAUAAAAGUUACUCUAGGAUAACAGGCUGAUCUCCCCCAAGAGUUCACAUCGACGGGGAGGUUUGGCACCUCGAUGUCGGCUCAUCGCAUCCUGGGGCGGUAGUACGUCCCAAGGGUUGGGCUGUUCGCCCAUGAAAGCGGUACGCGAGCUGGGUUCAGAACGUCGUGAGACAGUUCGGUCCAUAUCCGGUGUAGGCGUUAGAAUAUUGAGAGGAGCCUUCUUUAGUACGAGAGGACCGAGAAGGACAUACCUAUGGUGUACCAGUUAUCGUGCCAACGGUAAACGCUGGGUAGCUAUGUAUGGAGUGGAUAACCGCUGAAAGCAUCUAAGUGGGAAGCCCACCUCAAGAUAAGUAUUCCC